GAUGCCUGGGUCUGCGCAAAGUUCUCCGGAACACCAGCAGUAUAAGCAGUGCAAAGAUAUUAGAAGCAAGUAUCACCUGACAAAGAUGACCUAUGUGCAUCAUACUGCAGCAUGUCUACCACCACAAUUCUCAGCAAAGCUUGAGCGGCAUCGAAUAAAUUGUGCCCCCAAUUAUGAUCCUCGGGCACAGUAGACAAGAGGUCUAAGCAAAUACAGCAAGUUGAUUCAAAGCUUCGUUCAGGACUCCGAGUCCUGAGUGUGAGUCACAUCACACAGGCAAGGACGCUGUCACAAGGUACAAUGGCACCCAAAGAGAACUUGUUUGUUGAUGCUGCCAGCACGUCAGGUUGACCCUUCGCCCGGUUAGGGCUGUAAGGUUGUCGUGUGCUUAAGCAGACCCUCCACAAUAUCCCCAUUGAGCCCAUUCCUAUGCUUGUGCCUCCUGAGAGAACAGCAACUGCAUACCUGCGCACACAAAACUGGAACCUCAGUUGUCAUUGUGGAACAUGUAUUUGCUCGCUUAAGUACAGCUUUCAACUUGAAACAUCCAAGCACGAAGCGCAGAAGCCCUGCUGUGCCCACACAUGACCAUCACACCACAGGCAGGCGUCAUUUCAAAGAUAAAUAGCAGCGGCCUUUGGCAACCGCCUAGGGUAGUCAAUAGGUAGGGUAGGUAGGGUAGUAGAGCGGUACAAUAGCUGAAUUGGAGCAGCGUGUCUCAGCUUUGAAAGCAAACAAGAGGAAUUCACCCGUGUAAUUGAUCGCCAGAGCCUGUUGCGCCAGCUGAUGCGAUGGCUGCGAUUCUGAAUUUUGUCAAGUCGCAGCCGCGCGCAGUCAUCCACCGUGCAGAUGGUAGCCAGGUACAGGGCACUGACCGCCGAGACGCCUGUGUUGGCCGCCACUGUGAAGAUGAUGAUCAUCUGAUACCGUGCCGCCUG
This 938-nucleotide long non-coding RNA is filed under the name Coccomyxa subellipsoidea. RNAcentral's name for it is "long non-coding RNA (CSUB_LNC000324)". The record is from RNAcentral. Lineage: Eukaryota; Viridiplantae; Chlorophyta; Trebouxiophyceae; Coccomyxaceae.